Ornithorhynchus anatinus (platypus) is the source of this 2294-nucleotide long non-coding RNA. RefSeq lists it as uncharacterized. The record is from RefSeq and is a predicted model, not a curated record. The transcript has 2 exons. NCBI's taxonomy places the organism in Eukaryota, Metazoa, Chordata, Mammalia, Monotremata, Ornithorhynchidae.
UGUAAAGGGACACCUUUACAUGGUUUUUCCUUCGAGGCCCGAGGCAACCGAUUGGCUGAUGAGGAGGUUAGAAGGACAGGGGAAAGGGAACUGAGGCAAGCGGAGACAAUAAUGGUGUUGAUUCCCACCUUAUCCCCUAGUCUCCCUUCUCCAUCCUUUACUCCUGAGGAGCAACAGAAAGCUACCCAGCUGGGUGCCCAAAGAAGGGAAGAUGGUCAUUGGUUUCUCCCGGAUGGUCGAGAGGUACUAACCAAAGCAGACCCCUCCCCUCAGAUUUCCGAUUCAUAAGUACCAACCCGGAGAUUGGGUCCUGAUAAAGACUUGGAAAGAGGAGAAGCUGACGCCCAACUGGGAGGGACCCUUCCAGAUCCUCCUGACAUCUGACACCGCCGUCCGGACUCAAGAGCGGGAGUGGACCCAUCACACUCGCACCAGGGGACCUGUGGACGUUCCAGAGUCCUGGACCGCAGUUCCAGAUCUGGACAACGAACUAAGACUGCACCUCAGGAGAACGUAAGAUCUCCCCGAUGGACAAUUCCUCACCUCUGCUUAGGAGGUGAAGGAUCUUUGAUAUUUCUCUCUCGAUCAUAAUACCACAGUCACUCUUUUGUUUUGUAAGUAAUGUAAUUGUGUGUGUUGCUAGAGGCCUCCACCUCCAAUUCAUCCAUCCCUGGCUGCACUAAUGGUGUCACUCCUUGGGGUCGACCGAGGCGACCUAGGGGGUCUUAAGAUGGGCCUGCUGGGAGGAUCGAAAGGACCAACUCCAAUAUUGGGGAUGCCCCUGUUGACCUCCAGCGCUUGCUCAGCCUUGCCCAUCAAUCCCUUUCCCAUUGGAGAAAACCGGUUCCAGUAAUUAAUCCAGACGAUUGCUGUAACAUUUAAUCUAACUAAAUGCUGGAUCUGUGGUGGGCCACAAGACUCAACCCAAUGGCCUUGGGUAUCCGUUCCCCUCAGCCCCGCUUGGAUCCUGAGUAAUCGGUCACAAACACAUAAUGGGACAGGGUUCUGGAAAGCAGAGGAGGAACACGAAUGGGCAGCCCCAGAAAGUAAAUAUUGUCUAAAUUAGACUGGAAUAGGGAGAGGGAUGGGCAUUAGCCGCUGUGAAAGACAGCAUACACCCAUCUUCCUCUAAAUUGGACUGGGGUUUGUUAUUUAGGAUUAAUUCGGCCCAAAUUCUCCUUCCUACCAGAACAAGCUGGAAAACAUCUGGCCAUUCCAUUAUAUGAAGAAAUGGGGAGGCUGACAAGGAGUAUAGACACCUCCCUUACCCAAGCUGGAAAUGCCAAUGGGCGGGGAAAGGAGUGGCCCCCUGAAAGAAUAUGGGCCUGCGACCUGGGCUCAAGGUGGAAGUUGGAGAUAUAGAACUUCCAUCUACAUGCUGAACAGGUUAAUUAGGCUACAAGCCAUUGUGGAAGUCAUCACCAACCAAACUGCUAAGGCAUUGGACCUGUUAGCAGACCAAGCGACUCAGACACCGGAAGCAGAAAUACAACAUAGAUUAGUGGAAGUAGGAGGAGUCUGUGGGAAACUCAACCUUACCAACUGUUGCAUGAAAAUCGACGAUAAUGGAAGACUAGUCAAAGAGAUAACACAAGACAUCAGGAAGCUAGCUUACGUCCCUGUUCAAACAUGGAGCUCCCCCUAUAAUAGUUCAUGGUGGGCAUGGUUCGGAGGUAGUUGGUGGAAGUAGGUUCUAUGGUUUGUCCUGAUUGCUCUCAGUGGAAUUACCCUCCUACCCAUUUGCUGAUUACAGGGAUCCUACAAAGUUCCUUAUCCAAAAUAGUCAAGGCAGAAGGAAAUGUUCAAAUGAUGAUCAUGAAAAGUCAGGGAUGGCUCCCAAUAGAAGGGGUUGACUCUGACAGGGAUGAUGUCGACGUCCAGUGCUCAGUGGCUUUGAGAAAAUUUGAACACAAGUAACUUGUGAGGAACCCUCAAGGAUUUCCAAAUAUAAGAGGAGGGAUUGAGUGGGAUAAAAUGGCUGACCAUAGUGUUGAGGUAUCCUCAGUUAGCUGAAAAUGGUGAAAUACUAGUCUAAGGUUACAUCCCCCCCCCCCCCCCCUCCCCGAGACCACCUGACCAUUGUAAACACAAACUAGGCAAAAAUUCCCUAAUAAGGAAAGGAAUUCCACCCAACCAAUGAAAACAAAAACCAACAGGAGAUGGGGGUGUUCUUUGUCUUUUCUCUAUUUAACUAGCUGCUCUGCUUCUGUAAAACGGGCACUCCUUGUUCCGAUUCGUUGGAGCCAGGACUGUACCCGGUUCUUGCAAGAACCGUAAUAAAACUCUUUUGAUUG